AACGCACAUUGCGCCCCUUGGUAUUCCAUGGGGCAUGCCUGUUCGAGCGUCAUUUGUACCUUCAAGCUCUGCUUGGUGUUGGGUGUUUGUCUCGCCUCUGCGUGUAGACUCGCCUCAAAACAAUUGGCAGCCGGCGUAUUGAUUUCGGAGCGCAGUACAUCUCGCGCUUUGCACUCAGAACGACGACGUCCAAAAGUACAUUUUUACACUCUUGACCUCGGAUCAGGUAGGGAUACCCGCUGAACUUAAGCAUAUCAAUAAGCGGAGGACGUCAGCUUGACAAGCACUAUUGUGAGUCAUCGAGUCUUUGAACGCACAUUGCGCCCCGUGGUAUUCCGCGGGGCAUGCCUGUUCGAGCGUCAUUACACCACUCAAGCCUCGCUUGGUAUUGGGCGACGCGGUACGUCCGCGCGCCUCAAAUCUUCCGGCUGGUUCGAAUCGUCCCUCAGCGUUGUGGAAACUAUUCGCUAAAGGUGCGCGUUUCGGUCACGCCGUUAAACAAGCCAAUUUCAUUAAAGGUUGACCUCGGAUCAGGUAGGGAUACCCGCUGAACUUAA
Molecule: unclassified non-coding RNA, 557 nt
Filed under: uncultured Coniothyrium
Lineage: Eukaryota; Fungi; Ascomycota; Dothideomycetes; Pleosporales; Leptosphaeriaceae
Description: partial contains 5.8S ribosomal RNA, internal transcribed spacer 2, and large subunit ribosomal RNA
Rfam family: 5.8S ribosomal RNA (bases 254-362)
Source: RNAcentral